This 385-nucleotide long non-coding RNA is filed under the name Fragaria vesca (wild strawberry). Its description in RNAcentral is "long non-coding RNA (FVES_LNC000107)". Lineage: Eukaryota; Viridiplantae; Streptophyta; Magnoliopsida; Rosales; Rosaceae. The record is from RNAcentral.
UCCUUCUAGAAAGUUGUGGACUUGGACGAGCAAUUGUGGUGGAAAUCUUUCUAGGAAGAUCUUCCUCAGCCUCACUAUCCUCUGAAUUAAAGAAAAAUGCAGACAUUGAGCUUGUCUUUCCUUGGGAGACUGAUUUCUGAUGGUACAGGUCUUGGCCACUACUGCUAAGAGUUUCAUGUGACAGUUCAUCCUCUGAAGAAUCAUCAGGUACUACUGAAGAGACCGAUUUCUGAUUGUACAGGUCUUGGCGACUACUGCUUAGAGUUUCAUGUGAGAGUUCAUCAUCUGAAGAAUCAUCAAAAGGAGCGACAUCUGUGACAGGGGUUUUAGUGCUUCGUUCCUUAUUUAGCUUAGUGCUCCCUUUCCGGGUAUAUGGCCCUUCACU